This 509-nucleotide ribosomal RNA is filed under the name uncultured bacterium. Its description in RNAcentral is "bacterial SSU rRNA". It matches the Rfam family "Bacterial small subunit ribosomal RNA", at positions 26 to 518 of the family's 1533-position model. The record is from RNAcentral.
GGCUACAGAACGAACGCUGGCGGCGCGUCUUAAGCAUGCAAGUCGAACGGCAAGAGGUAGCAAUACCUCCUAGAGUGGCGGACUGGUGAGUAACACGUGGGUGACAUACCCUUCAGAUGGGGAUAGCUAUUAGAAAUAGUAGAUAAUACCGAAUACGAGCACAGGGGUUAGAGAUCUGUGAGGAAAGGAGCUAAGGCUCCGCUGAAGGAAUGGCCUGCGGCCCAUUAGCUAGUUGGUGAGGUAAGAGCCCACCAAGGCGAUGAUGGGUAUCCGGCCUUAGAGGGUGAACGGACACAUUGGGACUGAGAUACGGCCCAGACUCCUACGGGAGGCAGCAGCUAAGAAUAUUCCGCAAUGGACGAAAGUCUGACGGAGCGACGCCGCGUGGAUGAAGAAGGCCGGAAGGUUGUAAAAUCCUUUUGAAACUGAAGAAUAAGCGUUGUAGGGAAUGACAGCGUGGUGACAGUAGGUUUUGAAUAAGCAACGGCUAAUUACGUGCCAGCAGCGGC